ACGCAGCUGACUGCGGAAGACAUUACCGAGUGCGGGUCCUUUGGGCCCAACCUCCCAUCCGUGUCUAUUGUACCCUGUUGCUUCGGCGGGCCCGCCGCUUGUCGGCCGCCGGGGGGGCGCCUCUGCCCCCCGGGCCCGUGCCCGCCGGAGACCCCAACACGAACACUGUCUGAAAGCGUGCAGUCUGAGUUGAUUGAAUGCAAUCAGUUAAAACUUUCAACAAUGGAUCUCUUGGUUCCGGCAUCGAUGAAGAACGCAGCGAAAUGCGAUAACUAAUGUGAAUUGCAGAAUUCAGUGAAUCAUCGAGUCUUUGAACGCACAUUGCGCCCCCUGGUAUUCCGGGGGGCAUGCCUGUCCGAGCGUCAUUGCUGCCCUCAAGCCCGGCUUGUGUGUUGGGUCGCCGUCCCCCUCUCCGGGGGGACGGGCCCGAAAGGCAGCGGCGGCACCGCGUCCGAUCCUCGAGCGUAUGGGGCUUUGUCACAUGCUCUGUAGGAUUGGCCGGCGCCUGCCGACGUUUUCCAACCAUUCUUUCCAGGUUGACCUCGGAUCAGGUAGGGAUACCCGCUGAACUUAAGCAUAUCAAAAGGCCCGGAGGAA
RNAcentral lists this ribosomal RNA (597 nucleotides) under Aspergillus niger. RNAcentral's name for it is "eukaryotic LSU rRNA". The stretch from base 212 to 365 matches the Rfam family "5.8S ribosomal RNA". Lineage: Eukaryota; Fungi; Ascomycota; Eurotiomycetes; Eurotiales; Aspergillaceae. The record is from RNAcentral. RNAcentral also lists the same sequence under 1 other name.